Suricata suricatta (meerkat) is the source of this 503-nucleotide non-coding RNA. The record is from the annotation of a RefSeq genome assembly. Lineage: Eukaryota; Metazoa; Chordata; Mammalia; Carnivora; Herpestidae.
CUCAGUGGAGCAGAGCUCAGACCCUAACCUGCCCACUGCCCCCCACCCAGUCAGUCUCCUUCCAGCAGGCGCAGCUGGGAGGUCACCCUGGGCUGCUCUCCAGCAGGUGGGAAGCAGAACCAUGCUGGGUCCCCUCGCCUUCCUGUGCGCCCUCCUGUUUCCCGGUGGUGUGGCAUCACUCAGGAUGGAGCAGCCCACUAUGGUCGUGGGGCGCCUGGGCAGCUACGCCACGCUGUCCUGCGAAGUCAGCACCUCGGUCAGCUACAUGCACUGGUACCUCCACCAGGAGGGAAGUGCCCCCAAGUGGAUCCUCAGGUUGGAAAUGUCCACAUCAUCUGUUUAUAGAGAUAGAGGCUUGAAAGCAGACAAGGUCAACGCCACGUGUGACAAGUAUAUCAACACCUGUAACCUGUCCAUCCAGAGGCUGGAGAAGAGCGACGAGGGCGUGUACUACUGCGCUGCCUGGGAGUACCACAGCUGCACACGCUGCUCUGCUCCCUGAG